This is a non-coding RNA of Pteropus alecto (black flying fox), 116 nucleotides long. The record is from Rfam. Lineage: Eukaryota; Metazoa; Chordata; Mammalia; Chiroptera; Pteropodidae.
GUCUACGGCCAUACCACCCUGAACAAGCCCGAUGUCUGAUCUCGGAAGCUAAGCAGGGUCAGACCUGGUUAAUACUUGGAUGGGAGACCACCUAGGAAGACCAGGUCCUGUAGGUG